GCGGACGUGGCUCAGUGGUAGAGCAUCGCCUUGCCAAGGCGAGGGUCGCGGGUUCGAGUCCCGUCGUCCGCUCCA
This 75-nucleotide transfer RNA is filed under the name Bacillus thermozeamaize. RNAcentral's name for it is "tRNA-Gly". It matches the Rfam family "tRNA". Rfam says of the family: Transfer RNA (tRNA) molecules are approximately 80 nucleotides in length. Their secondary structure includes four short double-helical elements and three loops (D, anti-codon, and T loops). Further hydrogen bonds mediate the characteristic L-shaped molecular structure. tRNAs have two regions of fundamental functional importance: the anti-codon, which is responsible for specific mRNA codon recognition, and the 3' end, to which the tRNAs corresponding amino acid is attached (by aminoacyl-tRNA synthetases). tRNAs cope with the degeneracy of the genetic code in two manners: having more than one tRNA (with a specific anti-codon) for a particular amino acid; and 'wobble' base-pairing, i.e. permitting non-standard base-pairing at the 3rd anti-codon position. RNAcentral also lists the same sequence under 2 other names. Lineage: Bacteria; Bacillati; Bacillota; Bacilli; Caryophanales; Bacillaceae. The record is from RNAcentral.